GACGAACGCUGGCGGCGUGCUUAACACAUGCAAGUCGAACGGAAAGGCCCUGCUUUUGUGGGGUGCUCGAGUGGCGAACGGGUGAGUAACACGUGAGUAACCUGCCCUUGACUUUGGGAUAACUUCAGGAAACUGGGGCUAAUACCGGAUAGGAGCUCCUGCUGCAUGGUGGGGGUUGGAAAGUUUCGGCGGUUGGGGAUGGACUCGCGGCUUAUCAGCUUGUUGGUGGGGUAGUGGCUUACCAAGGCUUUGACGGGUAGCCGGCCUGAGAGGGUGACCGGCCAGGUUGGGACUGAGGUACGGCCCAGACUCCUACGGGAGGCAGCAGUGGGGAAUAUUGCACAGUGGUCGGAAGCCUGAUGCAGCAACGCCGCGUGCGGGAUGACGGCCUUCGGGUUGUAAACCGCUUUCGCCGGUGACGAAGCGUGAGUGACGGUAAUGGGUAAAGAAGCACCGGCUAACUACGUG
RNAcentral lists this ribosomal RNA (468 nucleotides) under uncultured bacterium. Its description in RNAcentral is "partial 16S ribosomal RNA". It matches the Rfam family "Bacterial small subunit ribosomal RNA", at positions 28 to 507 of the family's 1533-position model. The record is from RNAcentral.